Molecule: ribosomal RNA, 420 nt
Filed under: uncultured bacterium
Lineage: Bacteria
Description: bacterial SSU rRNA
Rfam family: Bacterial small subunit ribosomal RNA
Source: RNAcentral
AAUCAACGCUGGCGGCGUGCCUAACACAUGCAAGUCGAACGAGAAAGUGGAGCAAUCCAUGAGUAAAGUGGCGACCGGGUGAGUAACACGUGACUAACCUACCUUCGAGUGGGGGAUAACCUCGGGAAACCGGGGCGUAAUACCGCAUAACAUCUUUGGAGUGGAAAUUUCGGAGAUCAAAGGAGCAAUUCGCUGGAAGAGGGGGUCGGCGGCUGAUUAGCUAGUUGGCGGGGUAACGGCCCACCAAGGCUUAGAUCGGUAGUCGGCCUGAGAGGGCGCACGGCCACACUGGAACUGAAACACGGUCCAGACUCCUACGGGAGGCAGCAGUGGGGAAUUUUGCGCAAUGGGGGAAACCCUGACGCAGCAACGCCGCGUGGAGGAUGAAGUCCCUUGGGACGUAAACUCCUUUCGACCCGG